Podarcis muralis (Common wall lizard) is the source of this 379-nucleotide non-coding RNA. The record is from RefSeq and is a predicted model, not a curated record. Lineage: Eukaryota; Metazoa; Chordata; Lepidosauria; Squamata; Lacertidae.
CAAUCAUAUUACUGGGCCGAGGGAGAACCGCCAAUUUUGGCUGUAGAAAAAUGCAAGGGCGGUAUGUAACUAUCACCAUCCCAGGCAUUCGUAUCCUCUCAUUGUGUGAAGUUCAAGUGUUUGGUGAAAAGCUACCUUCCUCGGGAGAUGAAGAGGGGACCGCAUCUGGAAUGGAAGAAGCAUAAGAUUAUGUUUUAUGGGACAGCAGAAAUUGUGAAACCAAGAGCCCCUAGAUUUGUGGAAAGACAUCACAAAUUAUCAUUAAUCAGUGGUAACAAGGAGGAACCUGGCUGGCUGUCUAGAAGAACCUGCACCCAGAGGGACAUCAACACCUUCCAUGACUGCUAAAAUCCCAAAUAAACAGUAGAACUUGCAACUC